UAGUCAGGAACGCACAAUACAGAUUCAUUUCUAUAUUAAUUUCUUCUUAUUACUGCACUAAAUAAUACUUCGAAGUAGAAGUCCUCCAUGGGGUUAAUAAAGUGAACAGAAGAGUCUGCUUCUCCUCCCGGUUACCCAACCACCCACGGCGUCACCGGAACUGCGGGAAUGUGCCUGUGAACCCAAACGUACGGGUGGCUGCGGCUUUCGGCACGAGGCCUCGCCUGACAGCCGAAUUCAUUUACACCUCACAAAGUCGCACGGCGGUUCUGGAGACUCCGUCACGCCGGGGGCUAUGGUGCCGGCUGCGGUACCGCGUCGCGUCUGAAGUGUGGCUCCAGCGGAUGGGGAGAGGACUUCCAGGGCAGGGAAAACGGCAUUCCUGCGGAAGACUGACGGCUUAAUAACCGCAUCAACGGAGCGUCGCAUCAAUCUCGCGCAGGCCGAACACAAGCGCUGCAGCGAAAGAUGAUUUCAGUCAUUUUCAGUUUUCUAUCACUUUCCUGUCCUCCGUGACAGACCUCCUCCGAGUCUCGUCCU
Long non-coding RNA from Brienomyrus brachyistius, 540 nucleotides. RefSeq lists it as uncharacterized. The record is from RefSeq and is a predicted model, not a curated record. NCBI's taxonomy places the organism in Eukaryota, Metazoa, Chordata, Actinopteri, Osteoglossiformes, Mormyridae. The transcript is spliced from 3 exons.